CCUACGGGAGGCAGCAGUGGGGAAUAUUGCACAAUGGGGGAAACCCUGAUGCAGCGACGCCGCGUGAGUGAUGAAGUAUUUCGGUAUGUAAAGCUCUAUCAGCAGGGAAGAUAAUGACGGUACCUGACUAAGAAGCUCCGGCUAAAUACGUGCCAGCAGCCGCGGUAAUACGUAUGGAGCAAGCGUUAUCCGGAUUUACUGGGUGUAAAGGGAGCGCAGACGGCAGGGCAAGUCUGAUGUGAAAGUCCGGGGCCCAACCCCGGGACUGCAUUGGAAACUGUCCGGCUAGAGUGCAGGAGAGGUAAGUGGAAUUCCUAGUGGAGCGGGGAAAUGCGUAGAUAUUAGGAGGAACACCAGUGGCGAAGGCGGCUUACUGGACUGUAACUGACGUUGAGGCUCGAAAGCGUGGGGAGCAAACAGGAUUAGAUACCCCAGUAGUC
RNAcentral lists this ribosomal RNA (440 nucleotides) under uncultured bacterium. RNAcentral describes it as "partial 16S ribosomal RNA". It matches the Rfam family "Bacterial small subunit ribosomal RNA", at positions 338 to 795 of the family's 1533-position model. The record is from RNAcentral.